This 301-nucleotide ribosomal RNA is filed under the name uncultured bacterium. RNAcentral describes it as "partial 16S ribosomal RNA". It matches the Rfam family "Bacterial small subunit ribosomal RNA", at positions 509 to 809 of the family's 1533-position model. The record is from RNAcentral.
CAGUCGCCGCGGGAAUACGGAGGGUGCAAGCGUUAAUCGGAAUUACUGGGCGUAAAGCGUGCGUAGGCGGUUCGUUAAGUCUGUUGUGAAAGCCCCGGGCUCAACCUGGGAAUGGCAAUGGAUACUGGCGAGCUAGAGUGUGUCAGAGGAUGGUGGAAUUCCCGGUGUAGCGGUGAAAUGCGUAGAGGUCGGGAGGAACAUCAGUGGCGAAGGCGGCCAUCUGGGACAACACUGACGCUGAGGCACGAAAGCGUGGGGAGCAAACAGGAUUAGAUACCCCAGUAGUCCCUGUCUCUUAUAA